Molecule: ribosomal RNA, 256 nt
Filed under: uncultured bacterium
Lineage: Bacteria
Description: partial 16S ribosomal RNA
Rfam family: Bacterial small subunit ribosomal RNA
Source: RNAcentral
UACGGAGGGUGCGAGCGUUGUCCGGAAUCAUUGGGCGUAAAGGGCGCGUAGGUGGCGCGGCAAGCGUGCGGUGAAAAGCUCGGGGGCUCAACCCCCGAGUCGGCCGUGCGAACUGCUGGGCUUGAGCACUGUAGAGGCAGGCGGAAUUCCGGGUGUAGCGGUGGAAUGCGUAGAGAUCCGGAAGAACACCGGUGGCGAAGGCGGCCUGCUGGGCAGUAGCUGACACUGAGACGCGAAAGCGUGGGGAGCAAACAGG